This 528-nucleotide long non-coding RNA is filed under the name Sarcophilus harrisii (Tasmanian devil). RNAcentral's name for it is "lncRNA (ENSSHAG00000029642.1)". The record is from RNAcentral. Lineage: Eukaryota; Metazoa; Chordata; Mammalia; Dasyuromorphia; Dasyuridae.
AAAGAAUCCCAAAAGGCACCCAGAGAGAGAGCCAUGCACUGGUUUGCAUGAAGUUUGUCCUCCAGACUUCAGCUGUGUCAAAAACUGUCCUGCUUCUGAAAAGGGAAAUCUCAAUGAUAGUUAUUAUAUUCCUGUCCUUUUUCAGAUCUACUCACUUCUGCAUUUACAAGCAGCUCUCGUGCAUCAAGGAGAUUAGAUGAUGGCAUUUAUCCUAGAGCUCUAAGAAAAGCUCCAACAGCUGCAGAGGGUGUCCAAGCUGAUCAGAGUAGAAAUGAACUUUAAUAAAGCAAAGUUGACAUGCAGCAAAUAUUUCCUGUAAGCCUAGUAUGCACAGACAGAUAAGUGAUCAAGCGAUUGCUAGUAGAUAUCCCCUUGUCUCUAGUUCUAAGACAGGAGCAGAAAGGAUAGAGAUAGAUUCCAGGACAGAAGCAGGAAGCAUAGAGAUGGACCAAAAAGAUGUGAAGAAGAUACUGCCUCCAGAUGAUCCAAAGAUGAUAGUUAAGACACAGAAGGGAAGACAAGAGGUGC